AAAUGACCAUCCACAAACAAGAAAACUCCCAGUAAAAGACACUGGAUUAUGUGUAUUCCUGUGAACAGAAAAAAAUUCAGCUGCAAGCCUGUGGCAUUCAAUUUCAUCUUUCAGGAAUUUUCUUCAUAUUCACAAAUGAAUAGACAUUAUUCAGCUUUUGUCUGCAAAUGAUAAAACAAAGCCAGCACCAGGAAACAGAGCCAAGGAGAAGAACAGCCUUGAACGCGGAAGAACACGCGGAUGCGAUGUGGCUGAGAUGUCAGAAAUAGAACUGCAGCAGUUUGGCAUGAAGUAUCAGAGAGAGCAAGAGUAUACAGCAAAAAUUAAGUGUUUAACCUACCACCAUCUUAAUGGGAAAACAUAUGAAGCAAAUUAUUUAAACAGAGCUUAUUUUAGGAACAAUACAUUGUUUAAGAAAAAAACCCAUCUGCCUGUGAAAAAUUUCUGCCAAAAGAUAUCCUGUCCUUCAGUGGUAAGGCUGCUGUUUCUUCCCCUCUCUUUCCUUUGCCCCCACUAUUGGGAUCCUCAGCAUCUCUGGCUCAUGGACCUCAGUGAAGCAGCUGUUUAAAUUGCCCACAUGGUUCCUGAAUGGAGGCCAGAAAAAAAUGUAGUUUAAGUCUUUCUAAGUCCAGAUAUUACAGUUAACAGAGGCAUGGUGCAAAGCCUGAGCAAGGCAGCUUGUGGGAAUAGGGACCACUCACCUCUGUCACAGUGCUAAAGGCACUGGGUUUCUAAUCCUUAUGUGCUUUAAUGUUGCAUAAACAGAGACCUCCCAGUGCCUGGUGAACAAGAGCAGUUUUGGUGCAUACAGCAACUGCUCUACAUUUACAGCCCCAAUUCAGCUUGUUUAGACAUCCACAAGUUGCAUGCGAAUGGGUUUGUUCCCAUUCCCCUGCUGCAUUCCUGUCCCUUCUGUCCCUGAAUGCUGCUGCACUGGAUGACAAACAACUCCCACAUUAAAGGCAAGCUAAAGGUCACAGUGCUGCUGAAGGCACAGCCACUCCAUUUCAUC
RNAcentral lists this long non-coding RNA (1012 nucleotides) under Junco hyemalis (dark-eyed junco). Its description in RNAcentral is "lncRNA (ENSJHYG00000012750.1)". The record is from RNAcentral. Lineage: Eukaryota; Metazoa; Chordata; Aves; Passeriformes; Passerellidae.